RNAcentral lists this ribosomal RNA (440 nucleotides) under uncultured bacterium. Its description in RNAcentral is "partial 16S ribosomal RNA". It matches the Rfam family "Bacterial small subunit ribosomal RNA", at positions 338 to 795 of the family's 1533-position model. The record is from RNAcentral.
CCUACGGGUGGCAGCAGUGGGGAAUAUUGCACAAUGGGGGAAACCCUGAUGCAGCAACGCCGCGUGAGUGAAGAAGUAUUUCGGUAUGUAAAGCUCUAUCAGCAGGGAAGAAGAUGACGGUACCUGAGUAAGAAGCCCCGGCUAACUACGUGCCAGCAGCCGCGGUAAUACGUAGGGGGCAAGCGUUAUCCGGAUUUACUGGGUGUAAAGGGAGCGUAGGCGGGUAGUUAAGUCAGUAGUGAAAGUCUGCGGCUCAACCGUAAAAUUGCAGUUGAUACUGGCAUCCUUGAGUACAGUAGAGGUAGGCGGAAGUCGUGGUGUAGCGGUGAAAUGCGUAGAUAUCACGAAGAACUCCGAUGGCGAAGGCAGCUUGCUGGACUGUAACUGACGCUGAGGCUCGAAAGUGUGGGUAUCAAACAGGAUUAGAUACCCUGGUAGUC